Non-coding RNA from Salmo salar (Atlantic salmon), 54 nucleotides. NCBI's taxonomy places the organism in Eukaryota, Metazoa, Chordata, Actinopteri, Salmoniformes, Salmonidae. The record is from Rfam.
UGCAUUCACUACUGUAAGUCUCUCUGGAUAAGAGCGUCUGCUAAAUUACUAAAA